This 771-nucleotide long non-coding RNA is filed under the name Heterocephalus glaber (naked mole-rat). RNAcentral describes it as "lncRNA (ENSHGLG00100041222.1)". Lineage: Eukaryota; Metazoa; Chordata; Mammalia; Rodentia; Bathyergidae. The record is from RNAcentral.
CUUCAGAAGCCAAUUGACUAGGGCAGGAUCAGAAGACAAUACACAGCAGAAGUGAAGCAGAGUUUGUAGAAGGAAUGGUGAAAAAGUAGAAACUUAGGGACCAAGAGAGCCACAUAAUUUACUUCUGCUUGGUUUUCUGAGCUGUCUUAAUACUAUGUUAAUAACCCAAAGGCCAUGUGGAGGCCCAGCUGGAGAGCAGAGAUGUCUCUCAGACAAGUGAUGCUCUGUAUCCCUGCCUUUGGGGUCUUAAGGAGAACAACUUGCUUUAGAGAAAAGGGGACUUUAGAACAACUGAUGACCUUCAUUUCUUCCUAGUGUCUUAUAUAAAUUUAUAAAUAGAUUUACAUUGUUACAUCUCUGCUGGCAUUUUAGAGAAUCUAAAAUGGAGAUCAAAAGAAAGCAGCAAGAUUACAAGCCCUACUGCACCCUUCCCAAGCACCCCAUUCCUUCAUAAAGUGGUAACUAUUGUAAAUUCUAUGUCCAAGCCGGCUUUUCCAAGGUCAGAGAAAACGGAAAUCUUAAGAUUGGCCCAAUCAAAGAGGAACAUUAUCACUUUGAACAAAGACCUUGAAAAGGACCUGCAGAGGAGAGAUGAAGCAAACCAGGAGCUGCUUCUCAAAACCCAAGAGAAAGAACGCGAGAUCCAGAGCUUGCAAAGAAAUCACACAAGAUAACCAAGUGUGAACAAUGUUAUCCAGAUAGAACCCCAGAAGAGUUGCAGGUUAAGUUACAGUAGCUGGAAGCCUCCUGUACAGACCAAGAAAUGAAACU